This 491-nucleotide ribosomal RNA is filed under the name uncultured bacterium. Its description in RNAcentral is "partial 16S ribosomal RNA". It matches the Rfam family "Bacterial small subunit ribosomal RNA", at positions 29 to 507 of the family's 1533-position model. The record is from RNAcentral.
GUGCACGCUGGCGGUAGGCCUAACACAUGCAGGUCGAACGGCAGCACAGUAAGAGCUUGCUCUUACGGGUGGCGAGUGGCGGACGGGUGAGGAAUACAUCGGAAUCUACUUUUUCGUGGGGGAUAACGUAGGGAAACUUACGCUAAUACCGCAUACGACCUACGGGUGAAAGCAGGGGAUCUUCGGACCUUGCGCGAUUGAAUGAGCCGAUGUCGGAUUAGCUAGUUGGCGGGGUAAAGGCCCACCAAGGCGACGAUCCGUAGCUGGUCUGAGAGGAUGAUCAGCCACACUGGAACUGAGACACGGUCCAGACUCCUACGGGAGGCAGCAGUGGGGAAUAUUGGACAAUGGGCGCAAGCCUGAUCCAGCCAUACCGCGUGGGUGAAGAAGGCCUUCGGGUUGUAAAGCCCUUUUGUUGGGAAAGAAAGGCAGCAGGUUAAUACCCCGCUGUUCUGACGGUACCCAAAGAAUAAGCACCGGCUAACUUCGUG